UUGGAGGGCAAGUCUGGUGCCAGCAGCCGCGGUAAUUCCAGCUCCAAUAGCGUAUAUUAAAGUUGUUGCAGUUAAAAAGCUCGUAGUUGAAUUUCGGGAUUCAUCCGUUGGUCGGGCUUCACGGUCCGUACUGGUGUGAUGGGUUCCUACCUUCUGAAUAACCGGCAUGCCAUUAAUUUGGUGCGCCGGGGAAGCAGAACUAUUACCUUGAAAAAAUUAGAGUGCGUAAAGCAGGCAAGUGCCUGAAUAGGUUAGCAUGGAAUAAUAAAAUAGGACGGCAUGGUUCUAUUUUGUUGGUUUCUAGGAUCACCGUAAUGAUUAAUAGGGAUAGUUGGGGGCAUUAGUAUUCAAUUGUCAGAGGUGAAAUUCUUGGAUUUAUUGAAGACUAACUUCUGCGAAAGCAUUUGCCAAGGAUGUUUUCAUUAAUCAAGAACGAAAGUUAGGGGAUCGAAGACGAUCAGAUACCGUCGUAGUCUUAACCAUAAACUAUGCCGACUAGGGAUCGGACGAUGUUAAUUUUUUAAUGACUCGUUCGGCGCCUUACGGGAAAC
This 551-nucleotide ribosomal RNA is filed under the name uncultured Acaulospora. RNAcentral's name for it is "SSU rRNA". It matches the Rfam family "Eukaryotic small subunit ribosomal RNA", at positions 548 to 1098 of the family's 1831-position model. The record is from RNAcentral. Lineage: Eukaryota; Fungi; Glomeromycota; Glomeromycetes; Diversisporales; Acaulosporaceae.